AUUGAACGCUGGCGGCAUGCCUUACACAUGCCAGUCGAACGGCAGCACGUGUGCUUGCACCUGGUGGCGAGUGGCGAACGGGUGAGUAAUACAUCGGAACAUGUCCUGUAGUGGGGGAUAGCCCGGCGAAAGCCGGAUUAAUACCGCAUACGAUCUACGGAUGAAAGCGGGGGUCCUUCGGGCCUCGCGCUAUAGGGUUGGCCGAUGGCUGAUUAGCUAGUUGGUGGGGUAAAGGCCUACCAAGGCGACGAUCAGUAGCUGGUCUGAGAGGAAGACCAGCCACACUGGGACUGAGACACGGCCAAGACUCCUACGGGAGGCAGCAGUGGGGAAUUUUGGACAAUGGGCGAAAGACUGAUCCAGCAAGGCCGCGUGUGUGAAGAAGGCAUUCGGGUUGUAAAGCACUUUUGUCCGGAAAGAAAUCCUUGGCCCUAAUACGGGCGGGGGAUGACGGUACCGGAAGAAUAAGCACCGGCUAACUACGUG
RNAcentral lists this ribosomal RNA (486 nucleotides) under uncultured bacterium. Its description in RNAcentral is "partial 16S ribosomal RNA". It matches the Rfam family "Bacterial small subunit ribosomal RNA", at positions 30 to 507 of the family's 1533-position model. The record is from RNAcentral.